This 702-nucleotide ribosomal RNA is filed under the name uncultured Actinomycetes bacterium. RNAcentral describes it as "bacterial SSU rRNA". It matches the Rfam family "Bacterial small subunit ribosomal RNA", at positions 31 to 753 of the family's 1533-position model. The record is from RNAcentral. Lineage: Bacteria; Bacillati; Actinomycetota; Actinomycetes.
GAACGCUGGGGCGUGUUACACAUGCAGUCUAACGAUGAAAGCAGGAGCUUGCUUUUGCUGGAUUAGUGGCGAACGGGUGAGUAACACGUGAGUAACUGCCCUUGACUCUGGGAUAAGCGUUGGAAACGACGUCUAAUACCGGAUACGAGCUACGACCGCAUGGUCACUAGUUGGAAAGAAUUUCGGUCAAGGAUGGACUCGCGGCCUAUCAGCUAGUUGGUGAGGUAACGGCCCACCAAGGCGACGACGGGUAGCCGGCCUGAGAGGGUGACCGGCCACACUGGGACUGAGACACGGCCCAGACUCCUACGGGAGGCAGCAGUGGGGAAUAUUGCACAAUGGGCGCAAGCCUGAUGCAGCAACGCCGCGUGAGGGACGACGGCCUUCGGGUUGUAAACCUCUUUUAGCAGGGAAGAAGCGACAGUGACGGUACCUGCAGCAAAAAGCACCGGCUAACUACGUGCCAGCAGCCGCGGUAAUACGCUAGGGUGCAAGCGUUGUCCGGAAUUAUUGGGCGUACAGAGCUCGUACGCGGUUUGUCGCGUCUGCUGUGAACAUCCGAGGCUCAACCUCGGACCUGCAGAUGGGUACCGGCACACUACAGUGCGGCAGGGGAGAUUGGACUUCCUGCUGUAGCCUGGAAUGCCACAUUUACGAGACCACCAUGGCGAAGGCGAUCUCUGAGCCGAACUGACCUAGGAC